This 242-nucleotide ribosomal RNA is filed under the name uncultured bacterium. RNAcentral describes it as "partial 16S ribosomal RNA". It matches the Rfam family "Bacterial small subunit ribosomal RNA", at positions 266 to 525 of the family's 1533-position model. The record is from RNAcentral.
UACCAAGGCGACGAUCCAUAGCUGGUCUGAGAGGAUGAUCAGCCACACUGGGACUGAGACACGGCCCUUACUCCUACGGGAGGCAGCAGUGGGGAAUAUUGGACAAUGGGCGCAAGCCUGAUCCAGCCAUGCCGCGUGGAUGAUGAAGGCCCUAGGGUUGUAAAGUCCUUUUAACGGGGAAGAUAAUGACGGUACCCGUAGAAUAAGCCCCGGCUAACUUCGUGCCAGCAGCCGCGGUAAUA